This 111-nucleotide small nuclear RNA is filed under the name Carlito syrichta (Philippine tarsier). Lineage: Eukaryota; Metazoa; Chordata; Mammalia; Primates; Tarsiidae. The record is from RNAcentral.
GUGCUCACUUCAGCAGCAUACAUGUAUAUAUAAAAUUGGAAGGAUACAGAGAAGAUUAGCAUGGGCCCUGCACAAGGAUGACAUCAAAUUUGUGAAGCAUUCUGUAUUUUU